Molecule: ribosomal RNA, 465 nt
Filed under: Vreelandella stevensii
Lineage: Bacteria; Pseudomonadati; Pseudomonadota; Gammaproteobacteria; Oceanospirillales; Halomonadaceae
Description: partial 16S ribosomal RNA
Rfam family: Bacterial small subunit ribosomal RNA
Source: RNAcentral
CCUACGGGGGGCUGCAGUGGGGAAUAUUGGGCAAUGGGGGCAACCCUGAUCCAGCCAUGCCGCGUGUGUGAAGAAGGCCCUCGGGUUGUAAAGCACUUUCAGUGAGGAAGAACGCCUGGUGGUUAAUACCCAUCAGGAAAGACAUCACUCACAGAAGAAGCACCGGCUAACUCCGUGCCAGCAGCCGCGGUAAUACGGAGGGUGCGAGCGUUAAUCGGAAUUACUGGGCGUAAAGCGCGCGUAGGUGGCUUGAUAAGCCGGUUGUGAAAGCCCCGGGCUCAACCUGGGAACGGCAUCCGGAACUGUCAAGCUAGAGUGCAGGAGAGGAAGGUAGAAUUCCCGGUGUAGCGGUGAAAUGCGUAGAGAUCGGGAGGAAUACCAGUGGCGAAGGCGGCCUUCUGGACUGACACUGACACUGAGGUGCGAAAGCGUGGGUAGCAAACAGGAUUAGAUACCCUUGUAGUC